This 153-nucleotide ribosomal RNA is filed under the name uncultured Acidobacteriota bacterium. RNAcentral's name for it is "uncultured Acidobacteria bacterium partial 16S ribosomal RNA". It matches the Rfam family "Bacterial small subunit ribosomal RNA", at positions 380 to 524 of the family's 1533-position model. The record is from RNAcentral. Lineage: Bacteria; Pseudomonadati; Acidobacteriota.
AGCCUGACGCAGUAACGCCGCGUGGAGGAUGAAGGCCUUCGGGUUGUAAACUCCUGGUCAGGGGGAACGACAGAGCAAGGGUGAUAAAUCCUUUUCUCUAGACGGUACCUCCAAAGGAAGCCCCGGCUAAUUCCGUGCCAGCACCGCGGUAAU